Small nuclear RNA from Sorex araneus (European shrew), 103 nucleotides. The record is from RefSeq and is a predicted model, not a curated record. NCBI's taxonomy places the organism in Eukaryota, Metazoa, Chordata, Mammalia, Eulipotyphla, Soricidae.
UCUAAUAUAAAAUAAGUUUUUCUUAAUAUUAGAACGAGAUAGAGAAGAUUAACAUGGUCUCUGCACAGGAUUGUAAACAAUUUGUGCCAUAGUCCAUAUUUUU